This 602-nucleotide ribosomal RNA is filed under the name Heliococcus adenostomae. Its description in RNAcentral is "bacterial SSU rRNA". It matches the Rfam family "Eukaryotic small subunit ribosomal RNA", at positions 24 to 559 of the family's 1831-position model. Lineage: Eukaryota; Metazoa; Arthropoda; Insecta; Hemiptera; Pseudococcidae. The record is from RNAcentral.
UCAUAUGCUUGUCUCAAAGAUUAGCCAUGCAUGUCUCAGUGCAAGCCGUCUAGUACGGUGAAACCGCGAAAGGCUCAUUAAAUCAGUUAUGGUUCCUUAGAUCGUACCCACGUUACUUGGAUAACUGUGGUAAUUCUAGAGCUAAUACAUGCCGACAGAGUUCCGACCAGCUGCCGGGCCUCGCCCGGCGGUACGGAAGGAACGCUUUUAUUAGAUCAAAACCGGCCAAACGGUCGUCGCACUCGUGCGACGGCCGUUAGCGGCCCGCGCAAAGACUUGGUGACUCUGAAUAACUUCGAGCUGAUCGCACGGUCUCGUACCGGCGACGUAUCUUUCAAAUGUCUGCCUUAUCAACUGUCGACGGUAGGUUCGACGCCUACCGUGGUGGUAACGGGUAACGGGGAAUCAGGGUUCGAUUCCGGAGAGGGAGCCUGAGAAACGGCUACCACAUCCAAGGAAGGCAGCAGGCGCGCAAAUUACCCACUCCCAGCUCGGGGAGGUAGUGACGAAAAAUAACGAUACGGGACUCAUUCGAGGCCCCGUAAUCGGAAUGAGUACACUUUAAAACCUUGGUCACACGAGGAUCAAUGUGGCAGGGCAAG